GAGUUUGAUCGUGGCUCAGAGCGAACGCUGGCGGCAGGCUUAACACAUGCAAGUCGAGCGGGCGUAGCAAUACGUCAGCGGCAGACGGGUGAGUAACACGUGGGAACGUACCUUUUGGUUCGGAACAACUGAGGGAAACUUCAGCUAAUACCGGAUAAGCCCUAACGGGGAAAGAUUUAUCGCCGAAAGAUCGGCCCGCGUCUGAUUAGCUAGUUGGUGAGGUAAUGGCUCACCAAGGCGACGAUCAGCAGCUGGUCUGAGAGGAUGAUCAGCCACACUGGGACUGAGACACGGCCCAGACUCCUACGGGAGGCAGCAGUGGGGAAUAUUGGACAAUGGGGGCAACCCUGAUCCAGCCAUGCCGCGUGAGUGAUGAAGGCCCUAGGGUUGUAAAGCUCUUUUGUGCGGGAAGAUAAUGACGGUACCGCAAGAAUAAGCCCCGACUAACUUCGUGCCAGCAGCCGCGGU
Molecule: ribosomal RNA, 468 nt
Filed under: uncultured microorganism
Description: bacterial SSU rRNA
Rfam family: Bacterial small subunit ribosomal RNA
Source: RNAcentral